ACGUUGCUUUUUGUUUUGUGCGAGCAGGUACAGGCAAGGACUCUAAUCGACCCACCCGCUAGGAUUCAGGUUCAGCUGUGAGUUGGAUUUCUAUGAAGU
Molecule: long non-coding RNA, 99 nt
Organism: Solanum tuberosum (potato)
Lineage: Eukaryota; Viridiplantae; Streptophyta; Magnoliopsida; Solanales; Solanaceae
Exons: 3
Source: RefSeq, a predicted model, not a curated record